Molecule: transfer RNA, 73 nt
Filed under: Stegodyphus mimosarum
Lineage: Eukaryota; Metazoa; Arthropoda; Arachnida; Araneae; Eresidae
Rfam family: tRNA
About the family: Transfer RNA (tRNA) molecules are approximately 80 nucleotides in length. Their secondary structure includes four short double-helical elements and three loops (D, anti-codon, and T loops).
Source: Rfam by way of RNAcentral
GCCUUCGUAGUGUAGUGGUCAGCACACUCGACUCGUAACCGAGAGGUCAGCGGUUCGAUCCCCGGAGAAGACG